Long non-coding RNA from Oxyura jamaicensis (ruddy duck), 3719 nucleotides. RefSeq lists it as uncharacterized. The transcript is spliced from 3 exons. Lineage: Eukaryota; Metazoa; Chordata; Aves; Anseriformes; Anatidae. The record is from RefSeq and is a predicted model, not a curated record.
AGAAUAUGAUAUCCUUUCACUUCAUUGUACUCUUUUGUAAGUGUAGUCAUUUCUGGGAGAAGUAUCAAGAUUUACAGUUAUUCUUGACACUGCCAUGAAGGAUGAAUGAGCUCUCAUGAAUGGAAGAAUCAUCAUCAUGAUGGAGAAAUCAGAGUUUGCCUUGGGAAGAGUGAUCGUAGCUCAACUGCUUGUGUAUAAACACGAAUCCUCUUCUAAUUGCCCAGCUUGCAAAUUAAGGAAAUCUAGCAAGUUUGUUCUCACUGGGAGUAGCUUUGACCUCAUGUAGACAUGAGUUUAGCUGAGGUGUAUUUAGGAACACACCUGUUUUGUCCCUUGUGAGGCUUUAUUCUAGGAACAAGGGAGGACUCGGCUUGAGUUUCAUCUGCCACGAAGAUGUCAGAGCUGGAAGAAAAACGCUGCUGCUGUAACAUGCUCUUAUUGAUUUAGCCAGUAUGUUCUGGAGCCCGUGAGAGGUGACAAACAAAGGUGACCCACAGAGACAUUUUGCACCGUGGUGCUUUCCAAAGCACAGCCCUGUGCUGAAGCAGAACCUUCCCCUGAACAUUAGACAUGCAGGUGUGGAGCCAGUGGUCGACUCUGCAGGAACCAGGCACAGCAAUGAUAGCCAGCGUAAAUGAACCCUCAAAGGAAUUAAUAAAAGAAUGCUGCAGCCCAGGUCUGAAUACUUGAUUCAUGAAACUGAAUUGGAGCAGUAUUAAAUUAGGCUCCAAUUAGAAGUACCUUUCAUCACAGCCUAAAUCUGGUGAGAGCUUUGGUCUCUUGUGGCACCCAAAGGCUGGUAUUGGUGUGCUUUGUCCCUAGCCUUUUGUCCUGGGAUUUAGAAACUUCUAUCCCAACUAGCACAACCGAAUGAGUGCAUGCAGUUGGGGGAAAUGCGUGUGAUACCGCUACCAUGGCAGAACCUGUGACUAUGAGUUUUGAGGUGAAACAAUCUUGCUCAGAGCAAGAGAAACCACUUCUGGCUCCAGACCUUUGCUGCUCUGAGGCCGGAUCCUUCUGGUGGCUGCUGCCAGAGAAGGGGAGCUAUAAAUGGUCCGAGUGGAGUGUCCCUGGGUUUUGAUCCUCUGACUGUGUAAACUUGGACCAGCUGCUUCCACCUUCUGUGCUUCCCGGAGCAGUUCCUAAACAAAAGCACACUUGCUAUAAAUUUCCAGUGCCACUUUGGCAGCACACUUACUGAGUUUUCCAUAUUCCUUUUCUGGAUUUUGUUUCCUUUCACCUUUUUAAGUUUCUUUCCUUUUCCCCAAUGGAGUGGUUAUGUUCCCAGAUUAAAAACAGAAGUUUAUUCAGGUUGAUUUGUUAAAAAUGUAGUUUUAUUAUGCUUUCAAAUGGUAUUUUCCAUAUAAAAAUAUUUACUUUACUAAAACCACAUCUUUCUGAUGGAAGAAUGUCUGGGUUUAAAAAGAAAGUCUAGUAGCUCGAGUACCUAAAUGUUUCAGUGGUUCUGUGAUUUCAUGGAGCAAAACAAUUAGGGAUAAUAAAAUUCUUCAUUUUAGUGAAACUUAAUUAUAAAAUUAUGUUCUUGUUGGCUGAGGUGUGAAAGCUUCAUGCACUAAAGACUUUCUGAAUCCUGGAAAUUGUAAUGUUGAAAGUGUAAAAUCCGGCUGUUCUCAAGCUGUUAUCAAUGCAAUAAAGUAAUGGGUGAAAUUUUAAUCUUUGUGGCAUGCUGCCCACAGAUAGCAAAACUGUAAUUUGUAGUUGCUUGUUAUUAGUAAGUGCAGCUCUGUGGCGGUCAGAACUGGAGGAUUUUAGACCUCAUGUCUCAGGAGCCAGUCUCUCGGUCUGUGGCUGCAAUCAGGCCUGGCAAGCCUGCAGUAAAAGCUCUGACACCAGCCUGUUGGCUUGUGAUGUCCCUGCUGGAGACCAAAUCCAGCCUGGGCUGAUAGCGGAUUGCUUUUGUUACAGGGAUAGCUGCAUCCUGACCUCCUCCUCCUGCAAGGGAUUUCGAAAAUUGUCCCUCAGGUAUUAAAUCCCACAGCUCUCCUCAGCAAGGCUCCUUGCUCCAGAGCUCUAUUAGCAAAUGCAAGUGGUGGCCAGAAAACCUAUUAGAAGCUGAAAUAUUAUUGUGAGAGAGGGGUUAGAAACUAAAUGAUAACCUUAAGUCUUAAGGAAAUUCUUUUGGUGGUCUGGAUGUAGCUGGCUUCCUCCAGCUCUCUCUGUGUCUUGCUCUUCCUCCCUGAAAUGACCGUCCCUCCUUUUGGGACAGAAACUCCUUCUGCACAUUGCAGUCUCUUGGUUCUUUCAUCGCUACUGUGAAUGCGAAGGGGUGGCCCACCUCCUGCUGCUGACUCUUUUUCCUUCCUGUGAUGUGCAGGGAGUUGGUGAGAGCUUGCAGAAGAUGGGAAAUGAUUCCUGAGCUGAUUUGGUGGCAGCACAUAACAUGAUACUUAAGUACUACGUCCAUUGCGUUUCUCAACAGCAGAACAGAUGAACAAGCAAACUCAGUGCAGCUAAUUCCCAAAUAACUGGAUUAUUCAAUAUACGUAAACAAGCAUCACCCAUAUUGGUCCUUAGACAUGAUGGCUGGUGUCUGGCAGCUUUGUAAGCCCAGCAAAACAAGUACAAGCCCAGGGCUAGCAGGCGUUUCAAGGCAGUGUUAUUCUAGCUAUAUGCUCUGUGUUAAGUUACUGGGGGAGAAGGUGGUUUUAUUAGACGACAGGUAUAUCUCCAGUGAAACAGAUCUUAACUCGUGAGGCUACCCAUUGAUUUUUCAAUCUGCAGUAAAGCUAAGGCUGUUACUGAUCAAAUAUCACUCUGUCUUUCUCUGAGGACAAAAAGUUUGCCUCUUUAACUGCUUGAGCUCUUAGAGAGACUUCCAGAGGGAAGAAGAAAAAAGGGUGAAGAAAAAUCUUAAUUUUCUUGUUAUUUGAAAAGGGUAAUGCUAUCAUACCUCUUUCUGUUCCCAGGUCCCCAGUGUACAUUCUGAAUAAAAAGCUCAGCCUUCCAGAUUUUUCCAGAUUUGUACAGAUAAGGAAGAACACUAACUGAUGUUUUUCAGUGUUUUCUGAGCAUCUGGAGUGAUGUUUCCAAGCAGCUGGAGGCACAGCGUGGUUGUGUGUUGCAAGCCCAUGAGGAUUCUCUAGAGACUCCAAAGGAUUCUCUAGAGACUCCAGGUAAAUGUGCCUGAGAUGCCAUCCCGCAGCCUGGCACUGCACAAGAGCCACCCAAAGCAUCACGGGGAAUGCAGUAGAUCACAUCUGGAACUGUAAAAGCAACUGAGCAUCUUGGUGAUGUGGAUCCAUGGUCCCUAGUUUCUCUUCAGCGGGAGAUCUUGUCCACCCCAACCUUCUCCCUGCUCUCUGUCUGUGCUAAUUAGAUUGGGCUUUGAGGUAUCAAGCCUUUACAUUAGCAAUGCUGUUAUAGAAAUUCUGUUAAUUUAGCCAAUUGUGUUACAAAUUAACCUUUGGCAUUGGGAAGAUUCUUGCAAAGAAAUCGUGCUGAUCCAUGAUUAGUGCAGUGGUUGGCAGCCACUGCUGCAAGUUAAUUUUACUGGGCUGACGAAUUUAGGGCAGUUCUUCCUGUGGCAAUCAAAAUACAGGACCCGCAGUAUUGUUGCACUAGCGGCGGCUGCAUGUAAACAAACACACUUUUGCACACGCCAGCAAUUUUGCAAGCGUCCUGAAUGUCCUAUGGAUUCAAGUUUCUUUUGUCUAUCAUAUAUCUUAGUGAGCAAUAAAAUGGAAUUUGCAGAAUCUGAA